Molecule: long non-coding RNA, 2900 nt
Organism: Mesocricetus auratus (golden hamster)
Lineage: Eukaryota; Metazoa; Chordata; Mammalia; Rodentia; Cricetidae
Exons: 2
Source: RefSeq, a predicted model, not a curated record
AGAAUGAAGUAAAAAUUAGAAAGAACUCUAAAGACUUACUUCUUUGUGAAUACAGACAUUAGAUGUCACAAAUGUGAAGCUUUAUUUAAAACACAUCCAAAGACGUUACUUACAACACAUCACAAAUAUAAAUGAGAGACACAAAAGCAAUGCAAAACUGUCACUCAGAGAAAGUGCUUCCUGUGUUUAAGAAGGUCAUUUGGCUACCUGAUGAGAACAACUUCAUGAGAAGAAAUGCAUUUCAAGAAAACCUGUGACGCAACGACUGCUUCUGCGGAACAGCGCUCACCCCAAGCCUGUGGAUCUUCAACAUGUUCUAUGGUGGCCGCUGGUGGAGACUAAGUAGAGACAUACAAUUCGUAACUAAAUAUUCGUCUUUGGAGUCACACACAGUUUGUUUUCCUCCCAAAUAUCUGCAAAUGCAGCUCAGGGUUUGAAAGGAUAACACAUAAUUAGAAGCCUAUGAAAGUCUAUGAACCCGAUCCACAUUUGUAAAAACUGCAGGGAGUUUUAGGGAACUGAGUGACUUUGGAAUUGAAAGCAGAUACAGCAACACAGGAAAGCAGCUACGGACACCACAUUGACUGGUACCUUGGUUUUCUUGACUAUAUUUGUAUGGACUUGGCUCUGGAAAGCAGUUUAGCUGUGGUUCUUCAGUGCGAUGCAACUGGACUGCUCAGUGGUGUGGAGACCUUGUAAGAACUUUUAGAAACAGCAAAGGAAAACCGCGCCUUCAUUUCAUCAGACUGGCUCUUCAAUGUGCUCAUUGGUGGGACCGCAGUUUAACAACUACACAAGAAAUCCCGACUUAAGACAAACCAGCUGAACAAAAGUCCCAAACAAUUGCAUCACUAGCCGCAACAAAACCUUUCAGUAAUCUUUUACUUGAAAUUGAUGUAGUCACAAAAAAAAAGAGAGACAAGCUUCAAGCAGGCACCUUCUCUGAUCUGUCUGCCCCAGUGCUAGACAAGCUGAUGUGGUAAAUCUAUGUUAACAUAAUUGGAGACAAAGAUAUUCAGUUUUAAUCUUUUAAUGUGUUUUUUAGAGACACAUCAUACAAAUGCUUCAUAAACUAACACAAUUUGAAAAUUUAUGUUUUUACUGUUGAAGAAUGAUCAUCCACUACGUAUUUACCUGCGCAAAAAAAAAAAAAUGAAUAGUGAAGCUCCAACCCCAAGAAACUUGCCUUCUAAUGAGAGACAGCACAGGAAUACCGAGGAGAGAGAAAACUCAAUAACCACCUUCACAGAGAGCUGCAGAGAGCACCGCCAGGCACACAGAGCAGAGAGGACUUGGCUGUGGAGGUGGGGUAUUAGGAAAUGCUUCUUGUAUGAGGUGGCAUAUAAGUGUUCUUGAAGGAUGAAUCAGAUUUAAACAAAUGAAGGUAGAUUUAGUUGAGUAGAGGAUUACAAUGGUAAAUGGACUAAAUAAUAAAAAUGCAGAGUAUGAACCCACUGGAAGUAUGUGCUUGGAACACAUGUUUAUUAAUUUUCUUGCCAUCCACACAAAAACAAAAGUAGCAGAGCAGUUCUACAGAUGACCCAGACAGUUGAUUCACAAGAAAACCCAAUAUAAUAGGCCCAGACAAGUUUCUUAAAAUUUAGACAAUAAUAUUUGUGAUAUUUAAACUUUCGGCCUAUAAUAUAUGUUUGUGCAGUUUCUAUAAAAGCAGGAAUCAAGUGAUUAUCCUCGGAGCUCUAAAAGGCAACUUUUGACUUUAGAAGCUCUUCCCGACAGUUCUGCUGGCAAACAAGAUGCAAAACCAUGCUACUUUUUGUAAGGUGACAAAACUAUGAUGUCCUGUGGCCUUAAGCAAUGAUUAGUAAUUAGCCCACACUUAACUAAAGGAUAGUUCCUCGAAGCAGAGGCACUGAUGUGUGUGAUGCCAAGCUAUUGAAAUGUUGCAAGCGUGUUUGGAUUUCUCAGCGCUGCCUUUAGAACUAAGUUAUGACUUAUAGAAGAAGAAAACUUCCGUUUUUUCAGUCUCUUAGAUUUUGGUCUCAAAAUAUGUUUGGAAGCAAAAUGAAGCCCAGAGAUUUUCAACACAACGUUUGUUCUUAGCACUCCUAUGUGUACAUAAUCCACACGGGGCUGAGACAUUCUUUGUGACAUGGUCAACAGGAUCUCUAAGCAACUAGAAGCAUUGUCAGGGAAGGAAAGUGCCACGCUAGGCAGCGUACAUGCCUGCUGCACCUCUCAGUUCUCACCUUCUGAAUAUUAUAUGAUUUUAGUUAGUCUCUAACUUUUAACACAGGCAUUGGCUUGGGAUGCUUCUGCUAGAGUGGAUGAAUUUUUGGAAUGAAACUCACUUCCUAAGUUGUUCCUUUCUUUUUUUUUAAAGCUAUAUCUUGGUAAAUCUAUUUUCAUAUGUAUUUUGAAGACUUUUUAUGGAGUAGCUGGACCGGGCAAGCAAGAACAUCCAGAUGCCAUAAAGACAGAUAAACCGUAUAGUUUUAGCUGUAAAACCAGAGCUGUUGAUGACUACUGGUUUCUAUGUCUUGCCUGACUAGAGCCAGUGUUAAAGUUCGUUAGCUGGGGCUUAACAACACAAUGACUGAAGGAAUGGAGUUGCCACACAAGUGUUUAAAUUCCAUACCAGAUCCCUAGCUACAACGGAGAAGAAAGUUCAAACAACAAAACAGAAUUGCAAGGUCUGAACUUGCGUGCUACGGAUACUUCUAACUCAUCACCAGGCUGCUCUCGUUCGGGGCAACUGAGCUCUCUCCAGAAACACGGCUAAUUGAAUAAGGGUUUCGAAGCUUUUGGCUACAGAUAAACCAAAGUGGCACAUGGCUCAUAACUCAAACAUUUCAUUUUAGGCAGCUGCUAUUUUUCUUGCCAGGGCUAAUUUGGACUAUUCAAUCACUCUCUCUUCUUCAAUAAAAAACUGUUUGUAGUUA